UGUGACGGACUGGUCUGUGUCUGGUCUGUGACGGACUGGUCUGUGACUGGUCUGACGGUGCUGGUUGCAGCAGACUCCUGUUGAGCCUUUAAGCUGUUUGGGUAACCUGCACCAUGGUCAUACCUCACAGGGGAUUCCGUGUACACCCACACAUGCACGCGCUCGUGUUUGAGAGUGGCCUUAGCAGCGUCGUGUCUCAAAGCUGCUUGCAUGAUCCUCUUAAGCGCCGGAAGCCCGUAACAGCAAAUCCCCCAUUGAAAACCACAUUAGUCAUGCACAACAGAUUUUAGAUUUACAAAAUGGGGAUAUGCAAAUCAAUAGGUAAGUAACUCCCGCCAACCAAUCCGCUUGAGGGAGGCCUGCUGGUGGUGUUGGAACGCUGGGUACAGACAUGGAGCCCUGCAGCCUGUGAUGCUGCUUCAAGGUGUAGCCGUGUAUUGGUGGGCAGGAGGGUCAGCCUGACUUCCACAGCUACAGAGGAUCUGUCAGGAUCAGCGGUUCGUUCAGUACCUCUCACACUGUCUGGGAACGUAUGUUCACUAGUGGGCCAAAUGGCAACACUGUCCUGUCAUUUCUACUGAUCAGGUCGGCCAACCGGAAGCGCGAUCUGCUGUUUGAUUUCGUGUCGCCCACGUAAGAUGUAUUUCAUCCAUGUAUCUAAAUAAGAGCGUCGGCAUAGGGCUGGUUUAAGUAAGGCAUUGUAAGAUCUCGGCCGUCAGAAGCCCUGAGUCCUGGAGAGAUCUGCCGCCUGAAAGGGCAGUCUGAGGGUUUUACUCAUGUAGAGUGUGUGAGUACUCCACCCAUGUCACCUUGUCGCCGUCAUAGCCACAUUUUGUCUUUGAUUGAAUACAACAUCGACCCGGAUCAAACAUUUCAAAUUUGACUCCCCCCACUGUUUUUUUGGGGGGGGUUUCUCAUGUCAAUGUGAUGAUUUUGAAUUAAUGGAUGUUUCCAUAAGAGGCUAGAUCUUUAGACUGUGAUAUACAUUACCAUUCAGAGUACUGUGUCAUAAAAGAAGACAUGUUUUGCCACCGUUGAUACCUGUUGCAGUGUUAUUACAGGGUGGUUAUUUAUUCACCUUGAUUCUAUGUUCUUAAUAUAAGAAGUGAUUGGAUGUGAGACCAUAUAUCACGGGUAUGACAAAACAUUUUUCUAUUUUAUUGUGUUGGGAACAUGUUUAUUGUAGGAAAAAGGCCCUUUUUGGUAUUUUCUAGAUCGUAUAUUUGUAAUAAUGUCUUUGCUGUGUUAUAAUGUCCAUAUAACGCACCCACUCGGGCCUUAUUACUUAUAGCAUUUGGUAAAUGUUUGUGCCAAGUGUAGGCAAACGUGCCUAAAUGUUUUGUAUUGAUCUUUUACUCUAAAUCAAACUGUUGUGUCAUAACUCUAAUUUACUUUAAUCACGGAGUCCGUAAUACUAAUGAAAGAGGCUUCUGCACUUUGCCACCAGCACUAAAACCCAAGUAAUUUUUUACAGCACUUAUUUUAAAACAUUUGCACUGAUGUGUCUUUGUGCACCAAAGCCUUUUUACACCACCAGAGUGGUGUUCGGUGUUGUGCCUUAUUGUCGGUAACCUCUCCAGAUCAUCACACACUAACUCCAUUUUCUGCUUGGGGAUGCUGCUUACAAAAAUAUGAAAAUAUGCUGUCCAUUUCAGUAGCCUUACAGUCCACAUUUUGACCGUAAGGCUUAAUGCAGACUAAGGAAAAUAUGGUCUACAUUUCGGUGUAGCCUUAUGGUGAUAUGCGAGAAAGAGGGUCCAUUUUUAUUUCAUCUUUUACUGUGUUUUGUUGUGGAUUUUGUCAUAUUAACCAAUAGGAUUGCAUUGUUUUAAUAUAUUGAUUGAAAUACUAACACCUUCCAGUAGUGUUAGCUUAUGCAGUGUUCGUAGUUCCAGUACCAAAGAUUCAUCUUCUCUAUACAAUUUUGUGAACCACAGUAUUUUUAUGCUGAUUUGGAUUUAAAAAAAAAUGUAACUAGUAUUUGAUUAACAGUUGAUUUUGUUAGUAUUAAAAUGAUUGUAUACAAUAUUUAAUGAAUUAAAUGUAUUUUUUAUUUUUAAUGAACCAGUCUGUGCCGUGUAAUUGUGGUCAUCUGUCUUUGAUUAGUACUGUAGCUAAUUAUCACACUCAGAUCUGUAUUGCACUUGAUUUGAACACAUGAAUAAAAAUAGACAUUUCAGCAGCA
Long non-coding RNA from Esox lucius (northern pike), 2185 nucleotides. RefSeq lists it as uncharacterized. The record is from RefSeq and is a predicted model, not a curated record. Lineage: Eukaryota; Metazoa; Chordata; Actinopteri; Esociformes; Esocidae. The transcript is spliced from 2 exons.